GACGAACGCUGGCGGCGUGCCUAAUACGUGCAAGUAGAACGCUGAAGGAGGAGCUUGCUUCUCUGGAUGAGUUGCGAACGGGUGAGUAACGCGUAGGUAACCUGCCUGGUAGCGGGGGAUAACUAUUGGAAACGAUAGCUAAUACCGCAUAAUAGCAGUUGUUGCAUGAUAACUGUUUGAAAGGUGCAAUUGCACCACUACCAGAUGGACCUGCGUUGUAUUAGCUAGUUGGUGGGGUAACGGCUCACCAAGGCGACGAUACAUAGCCGACCUGAGAGGGUGAUCGGCCACACUGGGACUGAGACACGGCCCAGACUCCUACGGGAGGCAGCAGUAGGGAAUCUUCGGCAAUGGACGGAAGUCUGACCGAGCAACGCCGCGUGAGUGAAGAAGGUUUUCGGAUCGUAAAGCUCUGUUGUAAGAGAAGAACGAGUGCGAGAGUGGAAAGUUCACACUGUGACGGUAUCUUACCAGAAAGGGACGGCUAACUACGUG
This 495-nucleotide ribosomal RNA is filed under the name uncultured bacterium. RNAcentral describes it as "partial 16S ribosomal RNA". It matches the Rfam family "Bacterial small subunit ribosomal RNA", at positions 28 to 507 of the family's 1533-position model. The record is from RNAcentral.